RNAcentral lists this microRNA precursor (70 nucleotides) under Ovis aries (sheep). Its description in RNAcentral is "miRNA (ENSOARG00000024886.1)". Lineage: Eukaryota; Metazoa; Chordata; Mammalia; Artiodactyla; Bovidae. The record is from RNAcentral.
ACAUAUACAUAUAUAGUAUGUAUAUGUGUGUGUGUGUGUGUGUGUGUGUAUAUAUAUAUAUACACACAUA